AUGAACGCUGGCGGCGUGCCUAAUCCAUGCACGUAGAACGCUGAAGGAGGAGCUUGCUCUUCUGGAUGAGUUGCGAACGGGUGAGUAACGCGUAGGUAACCUGCCUGGUAGCGGGGGAUAACUAUUGGAAACGAUAGCUAAUACCGCAUGACAACAGUUAUUGCAUGAUAACUGUUUAAAAGGGGCAACUGCUCCACUACCAGAUGGACCUGCGUUGUAUUAGCUAGUUGGUGAGGUAACGGCUCACCAAGGCGACGAUACAUAGCCGACCUGAGAGGGUGAUCGGCCACACUGGGACUGAGACACGGCCCAGACUCCUACGGGAGGCAGCAGUAGGGAAUCUUCGGCAAUGGACGGAAGUCUGACCGAGCAACGCCGCGUGAGUGAAGAAGGUUUUCGGAUCGUAAAGCUCUGUUGUAAGAGAAGAACGAGUGUGAGAGUGGAAAGUUCACACUGUGACGGUAUCUUACCAGAAAGGGACGGCUAACUACGU
Molecule: ribosomal RNA, 493 nt
Filed under: uncultured bacterium
Lineage: Bacteria
Description: partial 16S ribosomal RNA
Rfam family: Bacterial small subunit ribosomal RNA
Source: RNAcentral